CAAGAAAUAGCAUAUAGUG
This 19-nucleotide transfer RNA is filed under the name Ruditapes philippinarum (Manila clam). RNAcentral describes it as "partial tRNA-Val". Lineage: Eukaryota; Metazoa; Mollusca; Bivalvia; Venerida; Veneridae. The record is from RNAcentral.